This 1379-nucleotide long non-coding RNA is filed under the name Linum usitatissimum (flax). RNAcentral describes it as "long non-coding RNA (LUSI_LNC006397)". Lineage: Eukaryota; Viridiplantae; Streptophyta; Magnoliopsida; Malpighiales; Linaceae. The record is from RNAcentral.
AAAAAGAAAGAAAGAAAGAAAGGAAUGAGUUUUGUUUGGUUCCCAGGGGAAAAAUUGUAUCUUUGUUUGUUUCAAAUGUGGUGGCUGUGAAGAUGGCAAGGGUGAUGAAGAAGCUGUAGAAGAAGAAGGGGGAAUCUAAAAGAGGACGAGGAAUAGGAAAAAUGACAACUUUGAAAGUGGGCUAACGGAAAGAAUCAAACAAUGGUUUGUUUUACAGAGAAAAGAAAGGAGAGCGAGUGUUGAAAUACAAGGAAGAAGGAAGGAGGUAAGGUAAGGCUUUCUUUUCCUUUAUUCUUUGCUGCUCAUCUUCCUUUAAUGGGUCUCUGUCUGCAUUUCUUUCUUUACCUCUUCUCACUCUCUCUCAGCUGCUUCUUUUUUGCACUUUGGAGAGAGGGGAUCAAGUUAUAGGUUUCUGGUGGGGAAUUGGCUGGUAUAGCUGUUACUGUAGUGUCUAUGAAUAGAGUGAUUAAAAUGGAUUCAAUCAGUAGCUCCACUAGAACCAAGUAAAUGGGUUGAUUACAGCAACAAGAUGGAGUCCUAAUUCUGCCUGGAAACAAACACUAAACAAUUCAUAAUAAAAACAAAAGUGAUAGAUAGAUAGAUAGAUAGAUAGAUAGAUAGAUGGUGUUCAACAUCAUCUUCCACUUGUAUAAAGUAAAAAAGCAAACCAUUCUUUUUUGCUCAAAUUCAAAGAGCUAGUAUGAAUGAAUAUGAUAUAUGAUCCUUUGCCUUUGCUUUCUUCCUUUUCAUUUUGCCUGGAAAAGAGUGCUCUUGUAUUCUCCCGAUCUUAACUAUUGUUUAGAUUUUUAAAGUGACGAAAUCUUAUAUUACGACUUUCGAAAUCGAAACUUUGGAGCUUUAUAUAUUAGCUAGCUAAUUGACUCGUAGACUUGAAGUGUCGCACAUCGCAGAUUAAGCCAACUAUAUGAAAUUAGUAUUCUGUUGAGCUUGCUAUAUUUAUGUAUUGGUUUUAUAUAUGUUUUAAUCUCCGACCAUCCUAAUUCAUCUACUGUCGUACGUAACUCGCCUUUUACAUUGUGAUCAUUUUAGGCAGGUAAGUGGGUAAACAAAAGAUGGAAACGAGGUUACAAAUUUGGCAUAUAUCCAAAGACAAGGUUUGGAAUUAUACAUAAUAAGGAUUGAUGCCGAUGCAUAUAUUUAUGGUGUGAUACGUUCACAAAUUGUACAUGCAAUUUUGCAAGUUGAAUUAGGGGCCUUUGAGGUGUCUCCAUCGACCCCUUCAAUUACAUACUGCCAGUGGGUGCAGUCCUUUUGUUUUGAACUGUCGCUUUCCGCCUUCCUGCUAGCUACUCCGAUCGAUCUAUGAUGGUUCAAUGUACCAGAUCGAAUCGUAUAACAGUUCAAAAAAAACACUAAGC